GAUGAACGCUGGCGGCGUGCCUAAUACAUGCAAGUCGAGCGAACAGACGAGGAGCUUGCUCCUCUGACGUUAGCGGCGGACGGGUGAGUAACACGUGGAUAACCUACCUAUAAGACUGGGAUAACUUCGGGAAACCGGAGCUAAUACCGGAUAAUAUAUUGAACCGCAUGGUUCAAUAGUGAAAGACGGUUUUGCUGUCACUUAUAGAUGGAUCCGCGCCGCAUUAGCUAGUUGGUAAGGUAACGGCUUACCAAGGCGACGAUGCGUAGCCGACCUGAGAGGGUGGUCGGCCACACUGGAACUGAGACACGGUCCAGACUCCUUCGGGAGGCAGCAGUAGGGAAUCUUCCGCAAUGGGCGAAAGCCUGACGGAGCAACGCCGCGUGAGUGAUGAAGGUCUUCGGAUCGUAAAACUCUGUUAUUAGGGAAGAACAAAUGUGUAAGUAACUAUGCACGUCUUGACGGUACCUAAUCAGAAAGCCACGGCUAACUACGUG
This 497-nucleotide ribosomal RNA is filed under the name uncultured bacterium. RNAcentral's name for it is "partial 16S ribosomal RNA". It matches the Rfam family "Bacterial small subunit ribosomal RNA", at positions 28 to 507 of the family's 1533-position model. The record is from RNAcentral.